AUACGGAGGGUGCAAGCGUUACUCGGAAUCACUGGGCGUAAAGCGCGCGCAGGCGGUCUUUUAAGUUGGAUGUGAAAGCCUACGGCUUAACCGUAGAACUGCAUCCAAAACUAUUAGACUAGAGUGUGGGAGAGGAAGAUGGAAUUAGUUGUGUAGGGGUAAAAUCCGUAGAGAUAACUAGGAAUACCAAAAGCGAAGGCAAUCUUCUGGAACACUACUGACGCUGAGGCGCGAAAGCGUGGGGAGCAAACAGGAUUAGAAACCCCGGUAGUCC
This 274-nucleotide ribosomal RNA is filed under the name uncultured bacterium. RNAcentral describes it as "partial 16S ribosomal RNA". It matches the Rfam family "Bacterial small subunit ribosomal RNA", at positions 523 to 796 of the family's 1533-position model. The record is from RNAcentral.